AUACGGAGGAUCCGAGCGUUAUCCGGAUUUAUUGGGUUUAAAGGGUGCGCAGGCGGGAGAUUAAGUCGGCGGUGAAAUUUUGCAGCUCAACUGUAAAAGUGCCUUCGAAACUGGUUUCCUUGAGUGUAGAUGAAGUAGGCGGAAUUUGUGGUGUAGCGGGGAAAUGCAUAGAUAUCACGAGGUACUCCGAUUGCGCAGGCAGCUUACUAAACUACUACUGACGCUCAGGCACGAAGGCGUGGGGAUCAAACAGGAUUAGAUACCCUGGUAGUCCACGCAGUAAACGAUGAUUACUAGCUGUUUGCGAUACAAUGUAAGCGGCUGAGCGAAAGCGUUAAGUAAUCCACCUGGGGAGUACGUUCGCAAGAAUGAAACUCAAAUGAAUUGACGGGG
This 393-nucleotide ribosomal RNA is filed under the name uncultured bacterium. RNAcentral describes it as "partial 16S ribosomal RNA". It matches the Rfam family "Bacterial small subunit ribosomal RNA", at positions 523 to 918 of the family's 1533-position model. The record is from RNAcentral.